UAGAUAUUUUAAAUACAAAAAAUAUUCGCCAGAGAAUUACGAGCUAAACAUGCUUAAAACUCUAAGGACUUGGCGGUACCUCAAACCCACCUAGAGGAGCCUGUUCUAUAAUCGACAAUCCACGAUUCACCUCACCAUCUCUUGCCAACUCCGCCUAUAUACCGCCGUCACAGCUUACCUUAUGAAAGAUAAAAAGUAAGCAAAAUAAUCUAAAUAAUUAACAAAUCAGGUCAAGGUGUAGCUUACUGAGAUGGAAGAAAUGGGCUACAUUUUCUAUACUAGAAAUAACUACGGAAAGAUACCUUGAAACAGGUUCUAUAAGCAGGAUUUAGCAGUAAACUGGGAAAAGAGAGCCCAA
RNAcentral lists this ribosomal RNA (358 nucleotides) under Kinosternon acutum (Tabasco mud turtle). Its description in RNAcentral is "partial 12S ribosomal RNA". It matches the Rfam family "Bacterial small subunit ribosomal RNA", at positions 875 to 1361 of the family's 1533-position model. Lineage: Eukaryota; Metazoa; Chordata; Testudines; Kinosternidae. The record is from RNAcentral.